Molecule: long non-coding RNA, 450 nt
Filed under: Homo sapiens (human)
Lineage: Eukaryota; Metazoa; Chordata; Mammalia; Primates; Hominidae
Description: HSALNT0051574
Source: RNAcentral
CUCUGCUCUUUUUCCUCUGACUGGGGAUGCUCCAUAUGGGGGCUGCUCUGUCAGUUGAGGUCGUGGAGUGAAGAGGAGGCAGAGCAGAGCUACAGCAGACCCACAUGGGCCAGCAUAUUACCUUGAACCUCACAAAGACUGGACUAGGACCUGCAGACUUCUGUUCAGUUCCAGAUUAUUUGGAGGGCCUGAAGAGACCCUUGGGGUCAUGGGCAUCAGAAGAUUCCCUGACAACUGAUCUGGGCAUCACAUCAUGCAUGCAAAGGAAGAUUUAACAGCACCACAGCAGAGCCAUGCAUAGGAGCACAUAAUCAUUCAAGCUCCAGGACAUGAGAGGGGAAGGAAUCAUCAGCUCUGGGAAGGGCAAAUUCCAGAGGGCCUUCUAGAGGUGACCCUUGAGCCAUGUUAAAGAUGGAGAGGGACUGUACCUUUGGCAGAAGUAGCAGAGAG